This 86-nucleotide transfer RNA is filed under the name Bacilli bacterium. Its description in RNAcentral is "tRNA-Val". It matches the Rfam family "tRNA". Rfam says of the family: Transfer RNA (tRNA) molecules are approximately 80 nucleotides in length. Their secondary structure includes four short double-helical elements and three loops (D, anti-codon, and T loops). Further hydrogen bonds mediate the characteristic L-shaped molecular structure. tRNAs have two regions of fundamental functional importance: the anti-codon, which is responsible for specific mRNA codon recognition, and the 3' end, to which the tRNAs corresponding amino acid is attached (by aminoacyl-tRNA synthetases). tRNAs cope with the degeneracy of the genetic code in two manners: having more than one tRNA (with a specific anti-codon) for a particular amino acid; and 'wobble' base-pairing, i.e. permitting non-standard base-pairing at the 3rd anti-codon position. The record is from RNAcentral. Lineage: Bacteria; Bacillati; Bacillota; Bacilli. RNAcentral also lists the same sequence under 1 other name.
GGAACUAUGGUGUAAUUGGUUCAACAUCCCACUCCUACAAAGUGGAGACGUGAAGUAUAAUCUCGGUUCGAGUCCGAGUAGUUCCA